UCAGAUAUAUGGUACAAGAUGCAAGAUUUUUGCCACCUGCGGCUGCUCUAUGCACUAUCGACUGUUUAGUUCCCAAAAAUAAUUCAACCAUGCACAUACUCUAUUUUCAGACUAUCAUUUACUCUUAUAGUGCAUUUGGAUUCACGCUUUUUAUAUGUACAAGGAGUUUUCCAAAAACACGUUCUUAAGCUCUUUUGACGCAUUUAUGCAGACUGGGAGGCUGCAGCAAACCCUAGCGGAUUGCGUGGAGCGGCAAGGCAAGGCGUUGCAUUCGGGAAAGGUUUCGACGGUGAGACUGUGUCCCGAACGCGCUUCCCGAGGCAGGUACUUCGAUUUUCGUUCCAAUUUCGUUCCCGCCUCUGUUGAAUUCGCUCAGGUCUCGCCCCUCUGCACCACUCUGUACAAAGGCGGGUUCCGAAUUCGAAUGUGGAAGAAGUUGGUUUGACGGUGGCCACUGAUCUUGAUGGCAAAAGUGUUGAGAAAAUGGCACCACAUGUGAAUGAACCAGUGUAUGCUUGGAGAAAUGAUUCUUUUGUUGCUGCAUUUCCUUCCGAAGUGGUUCGAAUAACUUAUGGCGUUAACUUUUCGCAGGCACCUGUUAUUGGCUGCUAGUGGUUUUCUACACCCCCCUUGGAUAAUUUGGUGUACACUUAAGACUUGUGCAGGGGCUGCCAUCCUAACAGACAUUGUAUUUUGGGUUUGGGGUGUUAUAGUCCCAUUCUUACAAAUUCCUUAACAGACUUGUGCAGGGGCUGCCAUCCUAAGCUUUGUUCUACAACAUUAGUUGUAAGCAUAUGUUGUUGUUCCCAAACAGGUGGCCAUAUCCCUUUCUGGAGCUUAAUAACAAGUGGGCUCCUAUAUGGUAUUUGUGCCUGGCAGUAAUUCAUGCCCCUUGCUAUGGCGUGUAUUAUCUGAUAGUGCGAGCCAAAAUACGAUUCUCCCCAGAUUGUUCCCUCAAGCAUUUUUGUCAUAGGAAGUUCCAGACUAUGAAGGAAUCCUCAGACUAUGAAGCAUGUUGAGAAAAGGAAAAUGCCGGUGGAAUUAUACCCAAGGUGAUGGAGACAAUAUUCAAGAGGGUUCAGACUAUGAAGGAAUCCUCAGAGUUUUUGAUUAGGGUAUCUUUUAUCGAGACACCUUCCUUGUGUUUCCAGUAAAGGAAGAGAACUCCAAAUGAGCUUUCCUGUUCAAUAGGUCAAUAAAUUCUACUGUUUAUUCUUUCUGUUGAUUGAAACAGUCACCAUGAACCACUACCUACUUCUAGCUAGUUCUGAUAGUGUAACAGUUUUUAGAUUCCAAUUCACAACUGGUCUUCACAUUCAUGUCGUCUCUACUGCCACUCAUAAUAUUAAAUAUUUUACUAAUUGAAUUGGUAAUCAUUUAGGACAGAACUUAGAGGUAUUUAUAGAGUUACUUUUGAUUUUGUUUUCUAAUCAAAAUAGGAAUUUAUUUUGAUAAUCAAUGUUGACUUUUAAUACGAGCUUUUAAUCACAACUGCAUCUAAGUUUUGUUCAAUCCUUUAUCAACGUGGGUUUUUUUUUUCCUUGAUCUUUCUCCUCGUUGUCCCUGACCGCAUCAAAAUGGUUUCUACUCUAAGUACAAGAAAAUGUACUGAUUGGAACAGCUUGGGCAAAAAAGUCAAAUGGCCUCUCGUCACGACCAUACAGGUUAUUAUUGUGCUAUUUGGGAUGUAUUGACGUGGCUCCAAGAAUGAUGCUUACACUUGAGUAAGUAGGGACUGUGAAAGCUUGGUUCAUGUACUCGAGUGCAUACAAUUAAUACGAGUAAUUAGUUACAAGAGAAUAAAUCAUACAGUAAUUAAUCAACCACCCUAACUAAUCAUUUCCUUGAAGUAAAACCCGCUCCUCUGGUUCAGAAGCCAAUUUCUUCGAUCUUGGAGAAAGUUCGGCAGAGGAAAUUGGAGAUUUUAUAGAAGUAGGUUGAUUUGCGUUAAGAUUGUUGUUGUUCAUUGGGGUAUGGAUAAAAUAAACAUUUGUUUGUUUAUUUUGGUCUAUGGUGUAUAUGGAUCUACAUUUAAUACGCAUAUUAUGUACUUCUAUCUCAAAUUGAAAAGCGAUUAUAUGAA
This is a long non-coding RNA of Glycine soja, 2083 nucleotides long. RefSeq lists it as uncharacterized. The transcript has 5 exons. The record is from RefSeq and is a predicted model, not a curated record. NCBI's taxonomy places the organism in Eukaryota, Viridiplantae, Streptophyta, Magnoliopsida, Fabales, Fabaceae.